ACCCCCGAGCUGCCCGUGGCCGCGAUCUUGCCGCCUUCUGCAGACCGCAGUUCGCAUACGUCCAGAUCAUCCUUGGCCAGCGACCUGUUGACUAGCAAGAUGAACUCCGAACCCCUGCUCCCGAGUAGCCGCUUGACCAGACUGCAGGAGAAACCCGGAGUACUUGGAGGAAAGCGGCUUGGCAGAGGAAGAUCAUGCAAAGUCUACACACACAGAGUAGAGAUGGGUUCAAUGGGUUUGAACCUCAACCCAUUCAGCCACUGUACCUCUAUCAGAACCAGUUUUCACAUCAAGCUUCUCUUGGUUGGUGCCCUCGAUUCUUCUGUUCCAGUCCUUGGAUUAUAUGUCUGUUCCGGUCAAUAACCCCAUUAGUCCGGUGGUGCAUUCUGGACUGAUGUACUUUUCACUAAAGGCGUUAAAAUAAGGUACAUCCCCAUUCCUGUAAGAUUCACAAGGCUCUCAAGUCUCACGCAUUGAUCGUGAGACACACGUGUCGCCUCUAACACAUGUAAAAACAUAUUGGCUUACAAUCAACUCAGUGUAAGAUUUUUUUUCUGAAACACCCACCAUCAAUCCCACGUUAAAUCUGUAGUAUUUAAAAUGUAUAUUUGUUUUGCUGAUAAAUAUGUCAAAGUGUGGAACAGUCUCUCCUAAAGGGGAAAUCAUCUUUUUCCUUUCAGUAUGUUGAUCAGCUGUAUAAGCAAUUCUUUACGAUGCGUUACGAAGUAUUUCAUGCUUGAACGCUGACGUCCACCUUUCUCAAAAUAAACAAAUACAAAAGUA
Molecule: long non-coding RNA, 783 nt
Organism: Brienomyrus brachyistius
Lineage: Eukaryota; Metazoa; Chordata; Actinopteri; Osteoglossiformes; Mormyridae
Exons: 2
Source: RefSeq, a predicted model, not a curated record